Heterocephalus glaber (naked mole-rat) is the source of this 3218-nucleotide long non-coding RNA. RefSeq lists it as uncharacterized. NCBI's taxonomy places the organism in Eukaryota, Metazoa, Chordata, Mammalia, Rodentia, Bathyergidae. The record is from RefSeq and is a predicted model, not a curated record.
GAGGCCCGAGGCAGAGAAGGCCGGUGGGGGCGGGGAGGGAGGUGACGCGCCCCUAGCCCGGUUCGCGUACGCGCUCGCCGCGCCAUCUGCGCGCUCGGGAAGAGCGCGAUUAUCCGCUUGACUCAUCCAGCCCGUCCCCCAGCGUACGCACGCUGGGCCUGGCCUCCUCCGGGCCUCCUUGGGCCUCCAGCGGCUGGGGGCGGGGGCGGGGAGAGGCGAGUGCGCGGCGCUGGGUGGCGGGGCGUGCGCCUCCAAGGGCUGGACAGAGUUCCGUGCCGGUGACGGCCACAGGAGGCCGGAAUGGAGACCCGGGUUUUGUUUUUUGAGAUUUAAAGCGGCGAGGAAGGGAGCGAAAGGGCUCGAGGUUUCCUUGGGGGGGGGGGGACUGUGAGGCUCGGGGACACCUUUCAACCAGCAUCUUUACGAGCUACGCACUCUCCUUUCCACUUUAUGGAUGAGAAAACUGAGUCAUAAAGAGGUGAAAUGGUGAGGAUGGGGUCAGAGGACAGCUCACUCCCUCCAGCUCAAGUUCCGGGCACGCCAGGCACACUAAAAGACACUUGGCUGGAACGUGGCUAGGUGCCAAGGAAUGGAGCGACGCGGUGGGACCCUCGUUCCCAGAAAAGUACACACCGAGCCCUAGCGGCGGCUCUGGCCCCGCGGAGGAGAAAGGGAAGAGCACUUCGUAGUUUCACUCUCAGAACGCUGCCCCCCACCCCCUCCUUAGUUUGCGAGCAGUAAUUUUCCAGCCGGGAAAUGUUUUCAACUUCAUCUCUGCAAACAGUACCUUUUUUUUUUUUAAACGUGAGUGCGGUGUUCAGUAUCACUUGCUGAACGUAAAUUUGCGAGGUGUUUAUUUUGUAUUCAGGCUCCACCCGCGCUCUACCAGCCGAGCCCCUCACCAGCGCUGCUGCCGCUUUCGGCCACAGACAGCCAGCCGGGGAAGAGGGGGCUAGGGAGCCGGAGAGAUGCUCCAAGCACCGGGCAGCGUGUGCGCGCUCCCCUUUUAGAGCUCCGAUUGCCACGUACUCGUCACCUGUUUGAAUCCUGCGAUCCUGGUACCUAUUAGGUUUCUUCGGAAUAUUUGUUAUCCCUGAUUUUUCCACUCCUCGCCGACCACACAAGCAUUCUUGGAAUGUAUUUCUCCCCAGUGAAUCGAGUCGGCCCAUUCUGCCAAAGGCAGGAAUCCCUCUUAAGAUCAGAGCACGGGACGCCUUUGAGGAUGACUACCAUCCUCUAGUUUUGCUUUGGCCAAGAGGGCUUGCAGCUGGGGCGAGGGGCGUGCCUUGGCAGGGCAACCGGAGGCCCUCCCUCUGGUGGCCUCCAGCAGUUCAGCCCCACCCCCAAAGGACAUGGGUAGCUACACUACAAUACUUUAACUCUGAGAAUACUGCCCUUUCAAACGGAGGAAGCAAGAGAAAACACCUGCUAUCUUACUCUGUACCCCUUUCAUUGUGAUGGCAGAAACUACUUGGGGAACUAGGACCUGAAGGCUCCGAGGAAAGAUAGGCACGUUUCCAUGCAGACCAAGGUCCCUAAACUCUAGUGAACUUGGGUGAGCCCUUGGUUGGCAGCCCUCAAACUUGGGAUGUAAACACGAAAGUCAGGACUUGCUCCAUUAACCCUUCCUCCUCAGAAAAAUAACCUAACCGUAACCAGCAGAGUGAAAAAACAAUACUGCGCAGAUGAAUUUGGAAGCCACUAUUAUUACAUCAUAUAAUCAAGACAAGAUUCUGAAACCCAGUUGAAAAAGAAGUUUACAAACAGCUUUUGGAAGGAUGGAAGCUGGGGCCUCUUUGUGGUAGGCAACUAUCUGGUUAUUCCUGACUGCAUCAUAAAGGGGAAUCUCUCUAUUCACCCCAAAGGGAAGGAACUUGGAGCUGCUAUCUCAUCUCCUUUCAUGACAGGUGCCUGCUGUGACAACAAGGCUAUGACCCUCCCUCUCUUCAGAACAGAAAGAGGAUGACCCUGAGCCACAGAAACUGGUCAAGAGUCAGACAGGAUAAUCCAGGCAUGGUGUCACACACCUGUGAUUCCAGCACUCAGAAAGCUGAGGCAGGAGGCUCACCAAGAGUUGGAGGCCAGCCUGGGCUACAAACAGUGCCGGCAAUUGAACCCAGGACCUUUUAUGGUAGAGAAGAGCCAAUUUAAAUUUGACUUCAUCUUCUUGUGGCUUAAAUGUUGACCGAGGACACGGUCACUGCGAGGGCUAUGGGUCAUGUAGCAUCUCCCUUGCCUCGCGCUCCAUACACGCCAUUCAGCUCCAUCUGUCCUCCAAGCAGCUCUGCAAGAGUCCCCUGUACAACUCACACUCCACUGGGGGAGCACGGGCAGUUGGAGCCAGCACAGGGCACGGUACUCAUGGCUCUUUCUGGACACGGGGUCCAAAAGUUUCCACACAGAUGCACAAGAUGGACGGCCAAGAUUUUGUACUCUGAAGUUCACUGCCUCAGCCCAGUUCUGCUGCAUAUCAGAUUUGAAGGACUUCCCAUCUGCCGCCUGCCUUUCCAACAGCACUUCACUCCUGCCCUCGCUUGUACCUGGAAACCAGGACCUCCUCUAAGGCUGGAUGCUGCUCCUCCCUUCCCUCGAGCCCCUCCUGAAAGACUUUUGGGCACAGCCUCGCUGCCAGCCUGUCGCUCUGUAAACCCAGACACAUGUAAUGAUGGCAAACCCAUGGCACAUGUAUUGUUUUUCUUUUAAGACAAGAGUUGGUAAUGUGUGAGUUGUUUUUUCUAAACUAAAACCUCAGUAUUCAGGUUUAAUUGUAGUGCUGGCACUUGGCAGUAAGUGGGUUUUGGGUUGCAGUUUGGGCACUCAUCUCUAAAAGGUUUGCCAUCACUGACACAGGGAAGCCCAGGUCAAUAUGGAAUGACUCCUUUUGCUUACCACUGGGCUGGUGUAUGUCACAAACCAAUACCAAGCCUAUGAACAUUUGUCAGUCAUCUGCUGUGUGCCAAACACUAGUCCAGGAGGAGAUAGGCUGUAUUUCCUUGAGUUUGGACACACUUUAUUCCCCUGAUAGUUUAACAUCUUUAAAAUGGGGGGGGGUAGGCAUUGCAGUCAGGGCUCUUACAAUUGCCACUGGACCCUUGUUAGUCACAGAGUAUUAAUGCCCUGGUCAGUUGAUUUCACAUAGAUGAGCUGAGCAUGUGGGUAUGUGCUUGUAAUCCUAACACUCUGGGAGGCUGAGGCAGGAGAAUCACAACCUGGGCAGC